This 250-nucleotide ribosomal RNA is filed under the name uncultured bacterium. RNAcentral's name for it is "partial 16S ribosomal RNA". It matches the Rfam family "Bacterial small subunit ribosomal RNA", at positions 28 to 272 of the family's 1533-position model. The record is from RNAcentral.
GAUGAACGCUAGCGGCAGGCCUAACACAUGCAAGUCGAGGGGCAGCAUAAAAAUAGCUUGCUAUUUUGGUGGCGACCGGCGCACGGGUGCGUAACGCGUAUGCAACCUACCCUGUACUGAGGGAUAGCCCGGAGAAAUUCGGAUUAAGACCUCAUGGUAUUAAUGAAUCGCAUGGUUUAUUAAUUAAAGGUUACGGUACAGGAUGGGCAUGCGUCCUAUUAGCUAGAUGGUAAGGUAACGGCUUACCAUG